RNAcentral lists this ribosomal RNA (496 nucleotides) under uncultured bacterium. RNAcentral's name for it is "partial 16S ribosomal RNA". It matches the Rfam family "Bacterial small subunit ribosomal RNA", at positions 28 to 506 of the family's 1533-position model. The record is from RNAcentral.
GAUGAACGCUGGCGGCGUGCCUAAUACAUGCAAGUCGAGCGAACGGACGAGAAGCUUGCUUCUCUGAUGUUAGCGGCUGACGGGUGAGUAACACGUGGAUAACCUACCUAUAAUACUGGUAUAACUUCGGGAAACCGGAGCUAAUACCGGAUGAUAUUUUGAACCUCAUGGUUCUAAAGUGAUAGACGGUCUUGCUGUCACUUUUAGAUGUAUCCUCGCUUCAUUAGCUAGUUGGUAAGGUAACGGCUUACCAAGGCAACGAUGCAUAUCCGACCUGAGAGGGUGAUCGGCAAAACAGGAAAUGAGAAAGGGAACAGAAACGAAGGGGAGGAAGAAGUAGGGAAACGUGAGAAAUGGGCGAAAGAGUGAAGGAGAAAAGGAGCGUGAGUGAAGAAGGUCAACGGAUCGUAAAACUGUGUUAUUAGGGAAGAAAAUAUGUGAAAGUAACUGUGAAAAAAUUGACGGAACAAAAAAAGAAAGCAACGGCUAACUACGU